RNAcentral lists this microRNA precursor (105 nucleotides) under Canis lupus familiaris (dog). RNAcentral describes it as "mir-8834 microRNA precursor family". It matches the Rfam family "mir-8834 microRNA precursor family". Lineage: Eukaryota; Metazoa; Chordata; Mammalia; Carnivora; Canidae. The record is from Rfam by way of RNAcentral. RNAcentral also lists the same sequence under 1 other name.
AGGAGGAACAACCACAGUGGCAGGGCCAGCUCUGGAGCCCUGGAUUCAGCCCCCGCAGUAACUCCGGAGCUCUCCGUCUGCAGGGCCUGGAGGCUCCGGGGCGGG